UUAAGCUACUCUCUGACACAGCUGCAUAUUUAAAUGGCAUAAACUAUUAAUUUAAAUGGACUACUUGCACAAUCACUUCCGCGGUCCAUGUAGUCCUGCCCCAGUGCUUCCGGUGUGGUUAAACCAUGGCGGCGUUCUAUACUCGCUGUCUACAAGAGCUCCCAAAAUUGAACAUCACUGAUGUUCAUCGGAUUUGCAGAGUGACGACUACCCCCGCCAGCAAAUUAGAUAAAGGAUUUAAGUUAUAUGCUGCAUCAUAUAUACACAACUACGAAGGAGUGGCUUCUACAGAGGCAUGGUGGGUUCGUUACCAGAUCCCUGCUUGUUCAGAAUAACGGAGGCAUAUGCAAAAUUUAAUAUUGAGGACAGACCACUUGUGACCACAAUGAACAUGAGACCUGACAAGCCCCUUGUGGAAAGUGCUUUUGGGCUGGUGCAGGAGGGCAGUGUUCUGUCAUAUCAGCAGCCGGUUUUGACAACCCGGUACAUCACACUACACCGUGAUGCACCACCAACACCGCACUUGCCUCUGGAGGGGUAUGACAUCUUGCCAUCAGAUUGUGUGUUUGUGUGCUCAGAAGAAGAGCUUCUGCAUCUGAAAAGCUUGUCUGUAACUCUGGAAAUGGCUCACAAAAUAGAGGAAGCUACACGUGAGCAAAGCUCUUCAUCUGAGUGGCAUCAGCUCCGCAGGCCCAGAGUGACUGCCUCUAGGUUUCGGGAGGUGUCACGUCAGAGGCCAGAGCUCAGCAGAUUCACUAGCAGAGCGUAUAUUGAAGGGAACAAGGCAGACAGCAGACAUGAGGAGAGGAACUGAGAUGGAGCCUGCAAUAGCAGCAGAGUAUAGUAGGCUAAUGAAUGUUAACUACUCACCCUGUGGUCUGGUCAUUCACCCCAUUGCCCCCUGGCUUGCUGCAUCUCCUGAUGGUGUUGUUUUUGACCCCAAUGAAUACCCCCAGUUUGGCCUUGUCGAAUUCAAAUGUCCCAAUGUACAAAACUUUAUUGACUGCAAAUAUGUGCAGAUGGAAUGUGGUACCCCUAAACUAAAAAAGAGCCACGCAUAUUACUGGCAAGUGCAAGGACAACUGCUCAUCAGUUGGAUGCAGUGGUGUGACUUUGUUGUGUGGGCACAAGAGGACUACCUAGUGCAAAGAAUAUACAUGGAUACAGAUGUGCACAAUGCAAUCAGAGAAAAGGCUGACUACUUCUUUUUUUACAUAUAUAUGCCAAGAUACCUGUGUUUGGAAAAAUAAACAGUGAAAACAUAGCAAAAAAGGAAAACAGAUCCUUCAGGCUGGCUGGAACAAAAUAACUGAUGUUUUAUUUGCAAAGUAUUUCAUGAAUUAUUUUGUUGUUACUUUUAUGUGAAAUCAAUAAACUGUUAUUUAAGCAAUGGCAUCAAUUUCAUUUUUUUAAAAACACACAUUUAAACAUUGAAUUUCUAUAGAACUUAUUUACAUGGUAAGUAUUUAACACUCCAUGCCUAGCAUACUGAUAUACAUUUAGACAAUAACACAACUGAGGGAAGAAAAUGACAAAUGGUAUUUUGGAUGUUCCAAAAGCACAAUGUCACUUAUGAUUUUAAAACGAUUUAGUGAUUUACUUUAUAAUUUUGAUAAACAAUUUUGUUGAAUCUGAAUAGUAAUAUAGUAUUAUAAUUAAA
Molecule: long non-coding RNA, 1660 nt
Organism: Oreochromis niloticus (Nile tilapia)
Lineage: Eukaryota; Metazoa; Chordata; Actinopteri; Cichliformes; Cichlidae
Exons: 2
Source: RefSeq, a predicted model, not a curated record